RNAcentral lists this ribosomal RNA (478 nucleotides) under uncultured bacterium. RNAcentral's name for it is "partial 16S ribosomal RNA". It matches the Rfam family "Bacterial small subunit ribosomal RNA", at positions 28 to 523 of the family's 1533-position model. The record is from RNAcentral.
GACGAACGCUGGCGGCGUGCUUAACACAUGCAAGUCGAACGGUAAGGCCCUUCGGGGUACACGAGUGGCGAACGGGUGAGUAACACGUGGGUGAUCUGCCCUGCACUUCGGGAUAAGCCUGGGAAACUGGGUCUAAUACCGGAUAGGACUCCGGACUGCAUGGUCUGGGGUGGAAAGCUUUUGCGGUGUGGGAUGGGCCCGCGGCCUAUCAGCUUGUUGGUGGGGUGAUGGCCUACCAAGGCGACGACGGGUAGCCGGCCUGAGAGGGUGACCGGCACCACUGGGACUGGGAUACGGCCCAGACUCCUACGGGAGGCAGCAGUGGGGAAUAUUGCACAAUGGGCGCAAGCCUGAUGCAGCGACGCCGCGUGAGGGAUGACGGCCUUCGGGUUGUAAACCUCUUUCAGCAUCGACGAAGCGAAAGUGACGGUAGGUGCAGAAGAAGGACCGGCCAACUACGUGCCAGCAGCCGCCGUAA